This 360-nucleotide ribosomal RNA is filed under the name Triticum aestivum (bread wheat). RNAcentral's name for it is "partial small subunit ribosomal RNA". Lineage: Eukaryota; Viridiplantae; Streptophyta; Magnoliopsida; Poales; Poaceae. The record is from RNAcentral.
AUGGAAGGAAAGGUAGCUAGGGACUUUCUUGCUUGUAAGGAUAGAGAUGAUGUUAAGAAAUUACUAUGCAAGUUGAAAGAAAAAUCCUUGAAUGCUAGAAUGAAAUAUGAUCCUAAGUUUUCUACUUCACCUAUCUUUAUUACUGAUAAAGAUUAUGAAUUCUCCGCCAAUCUAGAGUUAAUUACUUUGGUUGAAUCCGAUCCUUUCCAUGGCUAUGAAACUGAAACUGUUGUGGGACAUCUUACUAAAUUAAAUGAUAUAUCCACCCUAUUUGUUCAUGUGGAAAAAAUCCGCUAUAACUAUAUCCUUGUCACGCCCAAUAUGCGACCCGAUCCUAAAGGAACUCGAAGGUCCCACUAA